AGUGAACGCUGGCGGUAGGCCUAACACAUGCAAGUCGAACGGCAGCACAGUAAGAGCUUGCUCUUACGGGUGGCGAGUGGCGGACGGGUGAGGAAUACAUCGGAAUCUACUUUUUCGUGGGGGAUAACGUAGGGAAACUUACGCUAAUACCUCAUACGACCUACGGGUGAAAGCAGGGGUUCUUCGGACCUUGCGCGACUGAAUGAGCCGAUGUCGGAUUAGCUAGUUGGCGGGGUAAAGGCCCACCAAGGCGACGAUCCGUAGCUGGUCUGAGAGGAUGAUCGGCCACACUGGAACUGAGACACGGUCCAGACUCCUACGGGAGGCAGCAGUGGGGAAUAUUGGACAAUGGGCGCAAGCCUGAUCCAGCCAUACCGCGUGGGUGAAGAAGGCCUUCGGGUUGUAAAGCCCUUUUGUUGGGAAAGAAAAGCAGCAGGUUAAUACCCCGCUGUUCUGACGGUACCCAAAGAAUAAGCACCGGCUAACUUCGUG
RNAcentral lists this ribosomal RNA (492 nucleotides) under uncultured bacterium. RNAcentral's name for it is "partial 16S ribosomal RNA". It matches the Rfam family "Bacterial small subunit ribosomal RNA", at positions 29 to 507 of the family's 1533-position model. The record is from RNAcentral.